This 207-nucleotide ribosomal RNA is filed under the name uncultured bacterium. Its description in RNAcentral is "partial 16S ribosomal RNA". It matches the Rfam family "Bacterial small subunit ribosomal RNA", at positions 524 to 729 of the family's 1533-position model. The record is from RNAcentral.
UACGUAGGGGGCAAGCGUUGUCCGGAUUUAUUGGGCGUAAAGAGCGUGUAGGCGGUUUGGUAGGUCCGCUGUGAAAACUCGAGGCUCAACCUCGAGACGCCGGUGGAAACCAUCAGGCUAGAGUCCGGAAGAGGAGAGUGGAAUUCCUGGUGUAGCGGUGAAAUGCGCAGAUAUCAGGAAGAACACCCGUGGCGUAAGGCGGCUCUC